AGAGUUUGAUCCUGGCUCAGAUUGAACGCUGGCGGUAUGCCUUACACAUGCAAGUCGAACGGUAGAGGAGCAAUCCUCGAGAGUGGCGAACGGGUGAGUAAUACAUCGGAACGUGCCCAGUCGUGGGGGAUAACGUAGCGAAAGCUACGCUAAUACCGCAUACGACCCGAGGGUGAAAGCGGGGGACUCGCAAGAGCCUCGCGCGAUUGGAGCGGCCGAUGGCAGAUUAGGUAGUUGGUGGGGUAAAGGCCCACCAAGCCUGCGAUCUGUAGCUGGUCUGAGAGGACGACCAGCCACACUGGGACUGAGACACGGCCCAGACUCCUACGGGAGGCAGCAGUGGGGAAUUUUGGACAAUGGGCGAAAGCCUGAUCCAGCCAUACCGCGUGCGGGAAGAAGGCCUUCGGGUUGUAAACCGCUUUUGUCAGGGAAGAAAUACUUCGGGCUAAUACCCUGGGGUGAUGACGGUACCUGAAGAAUAAGCACCGGCUAACUACGUGCCAGCAGCCGCGGUAAUACGUAGGGUGCAAGCGUUAAUCGGAAUUACUGGGCGUAAAGCGUGCGCAGGCGGUUCUAUAAGACAGAUGUGAAAUCCCCGGGCUNCACCUGGGAACUGCAUUUGUGACUGUAGAGCUAGAGUACGG
This 644-nucleotide ribosomal RNA is filed under the name uncultured bacterium. RNAcentral's name for it is "bacterial SSU rRNA". It matches the Rfam family "Bacterial small subunit ribosomal RNA", at positions 8 to 651 of the family's 1533-position model. The record is from RNAcentral.